This 435-nucleotide ribosomal RNA is filed under the name uncultured bacterium. RNAcentral's name for it is "partial 16S ribosomal RNA". It matches the Rfam family "Bacterial small subunit ribosomal RNA", at positions 29 to 507 of the family's 1533-position model. The record is from RNAcentral.
AGCGAACGCUGGCGGCAGGCUUAACACAUGCAAGUCGAGCGGGCACCUUCGGGUGUCAGCGGCAGACGGGUGAGUAACACGUGGGAACGUACCCUUCGGUUCGGAAUAACGCUGGGAAACUAGCGCUAAUACCGGAUACGCCCUUAUGGGGAAAGGUUUACUGCCGAAGGAUCGGCCCGCGUCUGAUUAGCUAGUUGGUGGGGUAACCGCCUACCAAGGCGACGAUCAGUAGCUGGUCUGAGAGGAUGAUCAGCCACACUGGGACUGAGACACGGCCCAGACUCCUACGGGAGGCAGCAGUGGGGAAUAUUGGACAAUGGGCGCAAGCCUGAUCCAGCCAUGCCGCGUGAGUGAUGAAGGCCUUAGGGUUGUAAAGCUCUUUUGUCCGGGACGAUAAUGACGGUACCGGAAGAAUAAGCCCCGGCUAACUUCGUG